This 824-nucleotide long non-coding RNA is filed under the name Homo sapiens (human). Its description in RNAcentral is "HSALNT0270460". The record is from RNAcentral. Lineage: Eukaryota; Metazoa; Chordata; Mammalia; Primates; Hominidae.
GACUUCCUGUUGACCGCUCAGAGACUUCCUGUUGGCCACUCAGGGACUUCCUAUUGACCACCCAGGGACUUCCUAUUGACCACUCAGGGACUUCCCAUUUGUUGUUGGAGGCCUGUUCUGAGCUGGGAGCUUGGUGUGGGCUCCAGGUUCACCAAGGAGCUGGGGAGGUGGAAGAAGACAGAAGACGGCAGGGAAGUGCCAGCACAGGCCUGACCCGGGCCCGGGGCCCGGGAGGGGUCUGUUCUCUGGGCAGUGUCCCACACCCGCCAUCUCCCCUAGCACAAAAUCUACAGCCAGAGGCAAGUCCUUUGUGGCACAAGUUCCAGCCCCACUCAGGACUCUGCUGCAGAACCGAGCCUCUCACAUGCCUGCUCUCGGGUGCAGGCGAGGACCACAGGCUCCUAGGAUCUGGGAAUUUGGGAUGGGGCUUUCACACCGCCACUGUGGCUAUCAGGCUGCCUGAGUGAGGAUCCACCUCAGGGCCAUCUCACACUUGUCACGUGUGGUCUCAGGCCAUCUCUGCUGACUUCUUUUCUCUUCCCCUCCUCAUCAGGGACUGCCAGGGCCCAAAGGGGAACGAGGAGAGAAGGGCGAGCCGCAGUCCCUUGCCACCCUCUACCAGCUUGUGAGCCAGGCCUGUGAGUCUGCCAUUCAGACACACGUGUCAAAGUUCGACUCCUUCCACGAGAACACCAGGCCCCCCAUGCCCAUCUUGGAGCAGAAGCUGGAGCCGGGCACUGAGCCCCUGGGGUCCCCUGGCACCCGCAGCAAGGCCCUGGUUCCUGGAGAAUGGGGGCGUGGUGGCCGCCACCUUGAGGGCAGAG